This 484-nucleotide ribosomal RNA is filed under the name uncultured bacterium. RNAcentral describes it as "partial 16S ribosomal RNA". It matches the Rfam family "Bacterial small subunit ribosomal RNA", at positions 29 to 523 of the family's 1533-position model. The record is from RNAcentral.
AGUGAACGCUGGCGGCGUGCUUAACACAUGCAAGUCGAACGUGAACGGGUUAUAGCUUGCUAUAAUUGUCAGCUAAGUGGCGCACGGGUGAGUAAUGUAUAGGUAAUAUGCCUCUUACUAAGGGAUAACAAAUGGAAACGUUUGCUAAUACCUUAUACUCCUUAUUAACAGAAGUUAAUAAGGGAAAGAUUUAUUGGUAAGAGAUUAGCCUGUAUUGUAUCAGUUAGUUGGUGGGGUAAUGGCUUACCAAGACUAUGACACAUAACUGGUUUGAGAGGCUGAUCAGUCACACUGGAACUGAGACACGGUCCAGACUCCUACGGGAGGCAGCAGUGGGGAAUAUUGCACAAUGGACGAAAGUCUGAUGCAGCAACGCCGCGUGGAGGAUGACACAUUUCGGUGCGUAAACUCCUUUUAUAUGAGAAGAUAAUGACGGUAUUAUAUGAAUAAGCACCGGCUAACUCCGUGCCAGCCGCCGCGGUAA